AGUGAACGCUGGCGGUAGGCCUAACACAUGCAAGUCGAACGGCAGCACAGUAAGAGCUUGCUCUUACGGGUGGCGAGUGGCGGACGGGUGAGGAAUACAUCGGAAUCUACUUUUUCGUGGGGGAUAACGUAGGGAAACUUACGCUAAUACCGCAUACGACCUACGGGUGAAAGCAGGGGAUCUUCGGACCUUGCGCGAUUGAAUGAGCCGAUGUCGGAUUAGCUAGUUGGCGGGGUAAAGGCCCACCGAGGCGACGAUCCGUAGCUGGUCUGAGAGGAUGAUCAGCCACACUGGAACUGAGACACGGUCCAGACUCCUACGGGAGGCAGCAGUGGGGAAUAUUGGACAAUGGGCGCAAGCCUGAUCCAGCCAUACCGCGUGGGUGAAGAAGGCCUUCGGGUUGUAAAGCCCUUUUGUUGGGAAAGAAAAGCAGCAGGUUAAUACCCCGCUGUUCUGACGGUGCCCAAAGAAUAAGCACCGGCUAACUUCGUG
RNAcentral lists this ribosomal RNA (492 nucleotides) under uncultured bacterium. RNAcentral's name for it is "partial 16S ribosomal RNA". It matches the Rfam family "Bacterial small subunit ribosomal RNA", at positions 29 to 507 of the family's 1533-position model. The record is from RNAcentral.